CAGUCGUACCGGCGGAUAAUCAGCCUUUCGGGUGCGAUUCUGUGGGGCGUGAGGAGUCUGUUCUUGGGGUCGGAUAAGGGUCUUGGGAAUGUGGCCGGUUCGCCGGUGUUAAGCCCUGGACUUGAUACGGCUCUGGGGACAGAGGACCGCAGCGCGCCUUCUUGGCAUUGGCUUCGGCCUUUUUCCGCGCUAAGGAUUCUGGCUUAAUGGCUUUAAGCGACCCGUCUUGAAACACGGACCAAGGAGUCUAGCAUAUAUGCGAGUGUU
RNAcentral lists this ribosomal RNA (267 nucleotides) under Acaulospora scrobiculata. Lineage: Eukaryota; Fungi; Glomeromycota; Glomeromycetes; Diversisporales; Acaulosporaceae. The record is from RNAcentral.